Zalophus californianus (California sea lion) is the source of this 692-nucleotide long non-coding RNA. RefSeq lists it as uncharacterized. NCBI's taxonomy places the organism in Eukaryota, Metazoa, Chordata, Mammalia, Carnivora, Otariidae. The transcript has 6 exons. The record is from RefSeq and is a predicted model, not a curated record.
GUGGGGUCCAAGCUGAGGAUCAGCUUCCCGGACAAACUGCAUCACGUCCUCCACUGUCCAUGAGGAGGGGUCCCGGCCACUCAGUCGAGAGGCAUCCCGGCUUUCCAGGUAGAGGUUUGCACCAUGAGUUUGGAGUCUGGAGGUCUUGUGAGGAGGUGGCAGGAGCUGUGGGAACACACACCCCAGGAGGGCAGGCGGCAGGUCGGGAGAGACACCUCUGAAAUGGUGACACUUGAGCAAAGACCCUGAGGCAGAAGAGUGACUGGCACGUGUAAGUAGGUCCAUUUUGAGCAGAGGAGUGACUUGAACCACUUUCCGGCAGAAAGAAUCACUCUCAGAGUCUGUGUUGAUAACAGACUUAGACUCUGGACGAGGGCAGAAGGGAGACCAGUCCGCUGCUAUCAUGGUCCAAGCAAGAGACGGCUGUGGCACACACCAGGUGGCAGUUCUAUACCAAGACUCUCCCCCACCAUCCCAUGAGGGCAGCUGGUGGUUACUCCUCAAGGAAGGCGAGGGUCUCAGUCCGAGAAUGACUAACGCAGGACUAUGAGCUCCCUGUGGACAAGAAGUGAUUGAUUUUUGCCUCUGCAUGCCAAACGUAGGUGGUGUUCAAAUAAAUGGCUAAUAAAGAAUGGGUGUGUCCUUCCCUGUCCCAUUGGCUCUAGGCCUUUGGCUCUCAGUUUCCACUAUUC